RNAcentral lists this ribosomal RNA (460 nucleotides) under uncultured bacterium. Its description in RNAcentral is "partial 16S ribosomal RNA". It matches the Rfam family "Bacterial small subunit ribosomal RNA", at positions 338 to 795 of the family's 1533-position model. The record is from RNAcentral.
CCUACGGGUGGCUGCAGUGAGGAAUAUUGGUCAAUGGACGAGAGUCUGAACCAGCAAAGUAGCGUGAAGGAUGACUGCCCUAUGGGUUGUAAACUGCUUUUAUAUGGGAAUAAAAUGUUCCACGUGUGGGAUUUUGUAUGUACCAUAUGAAUAAGGAUCGGCUAACUCCGUGCCAGCAGCCGCGGUAAUACGGAGGAUCCGAGCGUUAUCCGGAUUUAUUGGGUUUAAAGGGAGCGUAGGUGGAGUGUUAAGUCAGUUGUGAAAGUUUGUGGCUUAACCGUAAAAUUGCAGUUGAAACUGGCAGUCUUGAGUACAGUAGAGGUGGGCGGAAUUCGUGGUGUAGCGGUGAAAUGCGUAGAUAUCACGAAGAACUCCGAUUGCGAAGGCAGUUCACUGGACUGCAACUGACACUGAGGCUCGAAAGUGUGGGUAUCAAACAGGAUUAGAUACCCGUGUAGUC